RNAcentral lists this ribosomal RNA (468 nucleotides) under uncultured bacterium. RNAcentral's name for it is "partial 16S ribosomal RNA". It matches the Rfam family "Bacterial small subunit ribosomal RNA", at positions 28 to 507 of the family's 1533-position model. The record is from RNAcentral.
GACGAACGCUGGCGGCGUGCUUAACACAUGCAAGUCGAACGGAAAGGCCCUGCUUUUGUGGGGUGCUCGAGUGGCGAACGGGUGAGUAACACGUGAGUAACCUGCCCUUGACUUUGGGAUAACUUCAGGAAACUGGGGCUAAUACCGGAUAGGAGCUCCUGCUGCAUGGUGGGGGUUGGAAAGUUUCGGCGGUUGGGGAUGGACUCGCGGCUUAUCAGCUUGUUUGUGGGGUAGUGGCUUACCAAGGCUUUGACGGGUAGCCGGCCUGAGAGGGUGACCGGCCACAGUGGGACUGAGAUACGGCCCAGACUCCUACGGGAGGCAGCAGUGGGGAAUAUUGCACAAUGGGCGGAAGCCUGAUGCAGCAACGCCGCGUGCGGGAUGACGGCCUUCGGGUUGUAAACCGCUUUCGCCUGUGACGAAGCGUGAGUGACGGUAAUGGGUAAAGAAGCACCGGCUAACUACGUG